GCCAGGUUCCCAGCCUCCGAGGACUUCCCGGCUCUUAUUUCCCAUAAGUCUGUGGGUCCGUUUCCGGCGGCCUGAAGGUUCUUGGAUUCGGCGUGGUGAGUUGCUAGCGUCGGAGGAAGUAAUCAGCGCCGGCUCGGAACCCGCAGGGAAGGCAGGGGUUGACUCCGGGCGGCUCCCGAGGUGAGGAGGACCGGCUUGCGGACAGGGCGUGUCGCGUUUGGAGCCUCCAGUCUGUAUGCGCGCGAGCGGCUGAGAAGGAUGGUGUGGGACAGACGGCGUGGCAGGGCCGGGGCGUGUCUCCGUGAUGGUGUGUGCGACUGGGACUGUGUGACGGGGUGAUGAGCUGCGUGGCCUUGCGGUUUUGCCUUGGCUGUGCGCUCCAAGUUUCUUCUAGACUCUGUUUGGGCCUGCCAAAGUGAAGUGACCGCAAGAGCAGGAGUCCUUCACUGAGCCCUAGAGGGAACGUUUCACGCCCGAAGGCGUAGGUCCAGUCUUGGGAUGAGCAUUGUACAUCCAGAAGUGUCCUCAUGACAUGCCGCUAGGAAAACGUGCUGGGGGGUUCCAGAGCUAAGAUUCCUGGAAGGGGCGCGUCUAGGAGCUCCCUGGGAGCCAGCUCCCUGUUUCAGAGCCACUGCGACCAGACCUCUCUCCCCAAUAAUUGCUGUCAGCCCCCAGAGAGAUUCUUGUCUUCUUUUCAAUUCCAUUUGGUUUCGUGUGGAUGAAGGCAGAGAUGGCUAUAGAUGGCGUUUUGGUUUCCCGGUGUUUCUGGGGUGUGUGUGUGUGUGUGUGUGUGUGUAUUUGCUACUUCUGUGCUCCAAGCAAUGCUGGUGUCUCAUGAUUCUUUUUUCCCCCUACCGCUGCUGGGUUUCUAAGAAGGACCCUGAGAAGGAAGAAAGAAUUGUUGCGUAUAUUGAAAUCAAGGUUCAGCUCUGGCUUUUCUGGAUUCUGUGCUUCACCAAUAGAGGAACCCCAUGGAUUAUUAAUUAGUUCUUGCAGUUCUAGAACCAUGACUGAUGUAAGUUGGUAUUUCUCUGUCCUUGAAAUAUUGUGACUUUUAGGUCAUAUGAACCUUUUCCUUAAUUGUCCUAAAGCCUUCUACAUAAUAGAACCCCAGUCUUGAACCCAGUCUCAGUUCCUGUCCCAGUAAGAGGUUGUGCCAAAUAACCCAGUGUCCUCCCUGUGUGCCUUCCAAUAAGUAUCAUCAUGUCAUUGAACACAUCCAACAACUGUGUGCUCAGUCUUCUGUUAAAAGCAGUGGAGGGGGGGCGCCUGGGUGGCUCAGUGGGUUAAGCUGCUGCCUUUGGCUCAGGUCAUGAUCUCAGAGUCCUGGGAUCGAGUCCCGCAUCGGGCUCUCUGCUCAGCGGAGAGCGUGCUUCCCUCUCUCUCUGCCUGCCUCUCCAUCUAUUUGUGAUUUCUCUCUGUCAAAUAAAUAAAUAAAAUCUUUAAAAAAAAAAAAAAAGCAGUGGAGGGAUAGGAGUCUUUUGAAGGAAAUACUUGAGCUCCUGUCAAAGAAUAACUCAAAGAAAUAUAGUUAACAAUUAGCACAUUUUUACUUGUAUACAAGGAAAACCAAGAGUAGAUUGAUUUCAUCUACCAAGGCACAAACAGGAUUUUUAUAAGGGAAGGAGAAAAGAGAGAAUGAAAGACUGUAGACAUUUUCAAAACAACAGUUACUCCUUCUUCUAAGGUCCUGAUUGGCAGGCAUCUAGGAAAGAAGCCAGUCAGGAUACUAUGUCCUUAGACAGCUGGAUGGUCACCCAAGAGAACGUUUUCGGUUGCUUGUGCCUUCUCUGGAGAGUUUUGGGGUUUACUUAGGACGUACUUAGGACAGUAGGCUGUCUUGGGCAGCGACCGUUGUUAUCACCUUUGUUCCACUAGGGCUGCACCAAUUCCCCUUGCCAGAAUUUUUUUAUUCCUGUGUCAGGUCUGUGGGGUGAUGACUCAAUGAUGAGGGUCUCAUUUGACCACACAGGCAAACUUGGAACUUCUUCACGGACCUGAGUUUCCCAGAGAGAGAUGGAAUUUGGGUUUUCUUGGCCUUAGCCUCAGUUUCUUUGAGGCUUUGCAAGGCUUUUAGGAUGAGAGGGACGGUGAGUGGAUCUUCCUAGGGAAAGUGGUGCUGUAAUUGUUGAAUACCAGUGUCAAAGUUCAUUUGGUUAUUGACCAGGAUGCGCAGAUCUUGGGUGACCUCUGUGUCGUAUAUGUUGUGCCCUUUCAGUGUCCUCCAACUCAGGAAUGAGGAAAUUGUUAGAUGAGGGGUGGUUGAUGGUAACAGGUAAGAAGGUGAUCGGGAUUUCUAAAUACUGGAUGAUAAUAGAUUCCUAGAAUGAAGAAAAUAGAAUUUUCGUUCAACCUAAAUGUAUAAAUAUAGUAGAGAUCUUAAUCUAUCUAUAUGAUGAACUGAGUUGCAGCUAAUAAAACAUCUUACGUAUUUACCAUUGUAAGAGAAAAGACUUAUAAUGUACUCUAACAGAGUGAUUUACUUGAGGCUUAAUGAUAAUCCUUAAUUUAAUGGAAAUCAUUUUUCUAAAAUUGAGAUUUUAUAGUGCAUUUGGGAAAAAAGAUUUGUUUUUUAUAUUCCUUAAAGGGAAAAGUUGGUGUAGCAGUUCACAUUAAUAAAGAAUUUAUGAGGCAGGCACAUAAUAGUUUGUGUGUAUGUAUACAUAGUCCUGUAUCUAGGGCUUCUCCCCACCCCACUAUUUUUUUUUUUNNNNNNNNNNNNNNNNNNNNNNNNNNNNNNNNNNNNNNNNNNNNNNNNNNNNNNNNNNNN
This is a long non-coding RNA of Mustela putorius furo (domestic ferret), 2770 nucleotides long. The record is from Ensembl. Lineage: Eukaryota; Metazoa; Chordata; Mammalia; Carnivora; Mustelidae.